Molecule: ribosomal RNA, 466 nt
Filed under: Vreelandella stevensii
Lineage: Bacteria; Pseudomonadati; Pseudomonadota; Gammaproteobacteria; Oceanospirillales; Halomonadaceae
Description: partial 16S ribosomal RNA
Rfam family: Bacterial small subunit ribosomal RNA
Source: RNAcentral
CCUACGGGUGGCUGCAGUGGGGAAUAUUGGACAAUGGGGGGAACCCUGAUCCAGCCAUGCCGCGUGUGUGAAGAAGGCCCUCGGGUUGUAAAGCACUUUCAGUGAGGAAGAACGCCUGGUGGUUAAUACCCAUCAGGAAAGACAUCACUCACAGAAGAAGCACCGGCUAACUCCGUGCCAGCAGCCGCGGUAAUACAGGAGGGUGCGAGCGUUAAUCGGAAUUACUGGGCGUAAAGCGCGCGUAGGUGGCUUGAUAAGCCGGUUGUGAAAGCCCCGGGCUCAACCUGGGAACGGCAUCCGGAACUGUCAAGCUAGAGUGCAGGAGAGGAAGGUAGAAUUCCCGGUGUAGCGGUGAAAUGCGUAGAGAUCGGGAGGAAUACCAGUGGCGAAGGCGGCCUUCUGGACUGACACUGACACUGAGGUGCGAAAGCGUGGGUAGCAAACAGGAUUAGAUACCCUUGUAGUC